This 775-nucleotide ribosomal RNA is filed under the name uncultured Neocallimastigales. RNAcentral describes it as "partial large subunit ribosomal RNA". It matches the Rfam family "Eukaryotic large subunit ribosomal RNA", at positions 24 to 633 of the family's 3401-position model. Lineage: Eukaryota; Fungi; Neocallimastigomycota; Neocallimastigomycetes; Neocallimastigales. The record is from RNAcentral.
UAUGUGAUCGUCUCUCGCAUAUCAAUAAGCGGAGGAAAAGAAACUAACAAGGAUUCCCCUAGUAACGGCGAGUGAAGCGGGAAGAGCUCAAAUUUGAAAUCUUAAAGGGUUUCCCUUUACGAAUUGUAGUUUAAAGAAGUGUUUUCUGUUGAGGUUUUGGUAAAAGUUCUUUGGAAUAGGACAUCAUAGAGGGUGAGAAUCCCGUAUUUGACCUUUACUUUCAACUUUGUGAUACACUUUCAAAGAGUCGGAUUGUUUGGGAAUGCAGUCCAAAAUGGGUGGUAAAUUUCAUCUAAAGCUAAAUAUUGGCGAGAGACCGAUAGCGAACAAGUACCGUGAGGGAAAGAUGAAAAGAACUUUGAAAAGGAGAGUUAAACAGUACGUGAAAUUGUCAAAAGGGAAGCGUUUGACACCAGUGUUGUUUUUCUGAAAAUCAAUUAAAGAACUGUUUAUGCUAAGUUGUUUAGACUUUAUCAGCUAACUGUUUAGUUUUGAGCUUUUCUUUAAUGCACUUUUCAGUUAACAAGUCAACAUCAAUUUCUUUUGCUGUAAAAAAGCUUGAGGAAGGUGGCUUGAGAUUCGUCUUAAGUGUUUAUAGCCUCUUGCCUAUGCAGUCGGAGAGAUUGAGGUCUGCAGCGUAGAUCCUUCGGGGCUAAAUGCAUUUGUGCUAAGUUAUAGCAUUUUAUAGACAACUUGUUGACUAUGAUUUGUCUUGUAGCUUACUCGCUUAUGUUAUUUUACCUACGCUUAGGAUGUUGAAGACUCUACAGAGAUA